UUGUCCCCUGGAGUUCCCUGCAAACACUUCACAAGCUAGACCAUAUAUAGUAUGCCCUUGCACAAUGUGGUAUCCAGUUACCUAGCUAGUGAAGUGUUUGGGGGAACUCUAGGUGUUAC
Sorghum bicolor (sorghum) is the source of this 119-nucleotide microRNA precursor. It matches the Rfam family "mir-395 microRNA precursor family". Rfam says of the family: mir-395 was identified in both Arabidopsis thaliana and Oryza sativa computationally and was later experimentally verified. mir-395 is thought to target mRNAs coding for ATP sulphurylases. The mature sequence is excised from the 3' arm of the hairpin. NCBI's taxonomy places the organism in Eukaryota, Viridiplantae, Streptophyta, Magnoliopsida, Poales, Poaceae. The record is from Rfam.